CGGAGGGUGCAAGCGUUAUCCGGAUUCACUGGGUUUAAAGGGUGCGUAGGUGGGCUGAUAAGUCAGUGGUGAAAUCUCUAGGCUUAACCUGGAAACUGCCAUUGAUACUAUCGGUCUUGAAUCUCGCGUAGGUAAGCGGAAUAUGUCAUGUAGCGGUGAAAUGCUUAGAUAUGACAUAGAACACCAAUUGCGAAGGCAGCUUACUUCACGAGUAUUGACACUGAGGCACGAAAGCGUGGGGAGCAAACAGGAUUAGAUACCCUGGUAGUCCACGCCCUAAACGAUGGAUACUCGACAUCAGCGAUACACUGUUGGUGUCUGAGCGAAAGCAUUAAGUAUCCCACCUGGGAAGUACGACCGCAAGGUUG
RNAcentral lists this ribosomal RNA (368 nucleotides) under uncultured organism. Its description in RNAcentral is "bacterial SSU rRNA". It matches the Rfam family "Bacterial small subunit ribosomal RNA", at positions 526 to 896 of the family's 1533-position model. The record is from RNAcentral.